UGAAAUACACAGGUGUGCCCAGCCAGUGUACCACGUUGAAAUACACAGGUGUAGCCAGCCAGUGUACCACGUUGAAAUACACAGGUGUAUCCAGCCAGUAUACCACGUUGAAAUACACAGGUGUAGCCAGCCAGUAUACCAUGUUGAAAUACACAGGUGUAGCCAGCCAGUAUACCAUGUUGAAAUACACAGGUGUAUCCAGCCAGUAUACUGUAUACCACGUUGAAAUACACAGGUGUAUCCAGCCAGUAUACUGUAUACUAUGUUGAAAUACACAGGCGUAUCCAGCCAGUAUACCACGUUGAAAUACACAGGUGUAUCCAGCCAGUAUACCAUGUUGAAAUACACAGGUGUAUCCAGCCAGUAUACCAUGUUGAAAUACACAGGUGUAUCCAGCCAGUAUACCAUGUUGAAAUACACAGGUGUAUCCAGCCAGUAUACCAUGUUGAAAUACACAGGUGUAUCCAGCCAGUAUACCAUGUUGAAAUACACAGGUGUAUCCAGCCAGUAUACCAUGUUGAAAUACACAGGUGUAUCCAGCCAGUAUACUGUAUACCACGUUGAAAUACACAGUCGUAUCCAGCCAGUGUACAGUAUACCAUGUUGAAAUACACAGGUGUAGCCAGCCAGUAUACCACGUUGAAAUACACAGGCGUAUCCAGCCAGUAUACUGUAUACCAUGUUGAAAUACACAGGCGUAUCCAGCCAGUAUACUGUAUACCAUGUUGAAAUACACAGGCGUAUCCAGCCAGUAUACUGUAUACCAUGUUGAAAUACACAGGUGUAUCCAGCCAGUAUACUGUAUACCACGUUGAAAUACACAGGUGUAGUACUAUUCUAGGAUUUGUUCAUUACCAAGUUGGAACAUAUUUUUAUUGCAUAUUAUAAUGCUUGUUGUUGUUGUUGUUGUUGUAUAUCCUCUGCCUUGACGAUGGAAGUAUCCGGUUGAUCCGAUUCGAGGUGACGCUGGCGUCAUGAAAUAAAAGCACAUAUAUAUACUUUAUGAAAUAAUGUUUACACUCCUGUUGUUUAUUAAAAAUAAAAUUUAAAAAGGCAUUGUUAAUUCAAAUGUCUGUAUUUCAAUAUACUUAUUUUAUACCGUUUUAUAAGUGACAUAUAUAUAUAUAUAUUGUGUAUGAAAAGCCUUGUAAUUGUUGUAAUCACUUGAUGUGAUUUUUGUGCAUUUGACAUCAGUGUCUCGUUGUAUUUUUUUCAAUAUUAAAAGGACCCAGAGCAGUCAAAAAAAA
Molecule: long non-coding RNA, 1247 nt
Organism: Oncorhynchus tshawytscha (Chinook salmon)
Lineage: Eukaryota; Metazoa; Chordata; Actinopteri; Salmoniformes; Salmonidae
Source: Ensembl